Molecule: unclassified non-coding RNA, 206 nt
Filed under: Hevea brasiliensis (rubber tree)
Lineage: Eukaryota; Viridiplantae; Streptophyta; Magnoliopsida; Malpighiales; Euphorbiaceae
Source: RNAcentral
UCAGAACGGUCGAUGGAUGAGCAAUUUCAUGAGUAAAUACAUAAAUUAGCAGGAGAAUCCAUAGAUCUCUGUAUCCCUUUUUGAGCGAAGAUUGAAGUAAUUUUCUGUUUCUGAUACACAGGGGAUCGAGCGAGAAGAAGGAAUGUUGUUUCGUUUACUGUAAUUCUUUUAUUGGGAGAAAAAAAAUUAUUUUUGUGUUGGACCGG